CCAGGCUGGAGUGCAGUGGAGCGAUCUUGGCUCACUGCAAGCUCCGCCUCCCGGGUUCACGCCAUUCUCCUGCCUCAGCCUUCCUAGUAGCUGGGACUACAGGCGCCCGCAACCACGCCCGGCUAAUUUUUUGUGUUUUUAGUAGAGACGGGGUUUCACCGUGUUACUGGGCGUGGUGGCUCAUGCCUGUAAUCCCAGUACUUUAGGAGGUCAAGGCAGGUGGAUCACCCGUGGUCAGGACUUCAAAUCCAGCCUGGCCAACACAGUGAAACCUCGCCUCUACUAAAAAUACAAAAAUUAGCCGAGCAUGCUGGUGCGCAUCUGUAGUCCCGGCUACUCAGAAGGCUGAGGCAGGAGAAUUGCUUGAACCUGGGAGGCGGAGGUUGCAGUGAGCCAAGAUCACGCCACUGCACUCCAGCCUGGGCAACAGAGCAAGAAAGUGUCUCAAAAAUAAAAUAAAAUAAAAUAAAAUAAAAUUCUACUUAAAAUGUUAUUUAAAAAAUAGGCCGACCCAAUAGUAGUGGGUUAUCGGAACUUAUUA
This 541-nucleotide long non-coding RNA is filed under the name Pan troglodytes (chimpanzee). RNAcentral describes it as "long non-coding RNA NONPTRT005402". The record is from RNAcentral. Lineage: Eukaryota; Metazoa; Chordata; Mammalia; Primates; Hominidae.